UGGGGAAUAUUGCACAAUGGGCGCAAGCCUGAUGCAGCCAUGCCGCGUGUGUGAAGAAGGCCUUCGGGUUGUAAAGCACUUUCAGCGGGGAGGAAGGCGUUAAGGUUAAUAACCUCAUCGAUUGACGUUACCCGCAGAAGAAGCACCGGCUAACUCCGUGCCAGCAGCCGCGGUAAUACGGAGGGUGCAAGCGUUAAUCGGAAUUACUGGGCGUAAAGCGCACGCAGGCGGUCUGUCAAGUCGGAUGUGAAAUCCCCGGGCUCAACCAGGGAACUGAAUUCGAUAGUGGCAGGCUAGAGUCAGGUAGAGGGAGGUAGAAUUCCAGGUGUAGGGGGGAAAUACGUAGAGAUCUGGAGGAAUACCGGUGGCGAAGGCGGCCCGCUGGACAAAGACUGACGCUCAGGUGCGAAAGCGUGGGGAGCAAACAGG
This 429-nucleotide ribosomal RNA is filed under the name Chloroflexota bacterium. RNAcentral's name for it is "Chloroflexi bacterium partial 16S ribosomal RNA". It matches the Rfam family "Bacterial small subunit ribosomal RNA", at positions 355 to 776 of the family's 1533-position model. The record is from RNAcentral. Lineage: Bacteria; Bacillati; Chloroflexota.